AAUAGAUACCCUGGUAGUCCAUGCCGUAAACGUUGGGAACUAGGUGUGGGUCUCAUCCCACGUCCUCCGUGCCGCAGCUAACGCAUUAAGCGCCCCGCCUGGGGAGUACGGCCGCAAGGCUAAAACUCAAAGGAAUUGACGGGGGGCCCGCACAAGCGGCGGAGCAUGCGGAUUAAUUCGAUGCAACGCGAAGAACCUUACCUGGGUUUGACAUAUAGGGAAAUCCUCCAGAGAUGGGGGGUCCGUAAGGGUCCUAUACAGGUGGUGCAUGGCUGUCGUCAGCUCGUGUCGUGAGAUGUUGGGUUAAGUCCCGCAACGAGCGCAACCCUCGUCCUAUGUUGCCAGCACGCCCUUCGGGGUGGUGGGGACUCAUAGGAGACUGCCGGGGUCAACUCGGAGGAAUGUGGGGAUGACGUCAAGUCAUCAUGCCCCUUAUGUCCAGGGCUUCACGCAUGCUACAAUGGCCGGUACAAAGGGCUGCGAAACUGUAAGGUGGAGCGAAUCCCAAAAAGCCGGUCUCAGUUCGGAUUGGGGUCUGCAACUCCG
This 546-nucleotide ribosomal RNA is filed under the name uncultured bacterium. Its description in RNAcentral is "bacterial SSU rRNA". It matches the Rfam family "Bacterial small subunit ribosomal RNA", at positions 777 to 1314 of the family's 1533-position model. The record is from RNAcentral.